CGACGGCUAAUACCGCAUGACGUCUACGGACCAAAGAUUUAUCGCCGAUGGAUCGGCCCGCGUCAGAUUAGGCUUGUUGGUGAGGUAAAGGCUCACCAAGGCGACGAUCUGUAGCGUGGUCUGAGAGGAUGAUCAGCCACACCUGGGACUGAGACACGGCCCAGACUCCUACGGGAGGCAGCAGUGGGGAAUAUUGGACAAUGGGCGCAAGCCUGAUCCAGCCUAUGCCGACGUGGGUGAAGAAGGCCCUAGGGUUGUAAACCCCUUUCAGCGGGGAAGAUAAUGACGGUACCCGCAGAAGAAGCCCCGGCUAACUCCGUG
RNAcentral lists this ribosomal RNA (321 nucleotides) under uncultured bacterium. RNAcentral describes it as "bacterial SSU rRNA". It matches the Rfam family "Bacterial small subunit ribosomal RNA", at positions 157 to 507 of the family's 1533-position model. The record is from RNAcentral.